RNAcentral lists this unclassified non-coding RNA (309 nucleotides) under Bombus terrestris (buff-tailed bumblebee). Its description in RNAcentral is "misc RNA ENSBTSG00005024532.1". Lineage: Eukaryota; Metazoa; Arthropoda; Insecta; Hymenoptera; Apidae. The record is from RNAcentral.
GGCGUUGGUGGUGGUGGAGGCGGCGGUGGCGGUGGUGGUGGUGGUGGUGGUGGUGGUGGUGGUGGAGGAGGCGGUGGCGGUGGCGGUGGCGGUGGCGGUGGCGGUGGCGGUGGCGGUGGCGGUGGCGGUGGUCGUGGUGGUGGAGGCGGCGGCGAUGGCGGUAAAUAAGUAGGCGGCGGCGGUGGUGGUGGUGAAGGUGACGGUGGCGGUGGUCGUGGUGGUGGAGGCGGCGGCGGAUGCGGCGGUGGUGGUAAAUAAGUAGGUGUUGGAGAAGGGCGAGGGGGAGAUGGUGGAGGUGGAGGAGGCGGA